AUAAUGGGUCAGCGACUUAUAUUCUGUAGCAAGGUUAACCGAAUAGGGGAGCCGAAGGGAAACCGAGUCUUAACUGGGCGUUAAGUUGCAGGGUAUAGACCCGAAACCCGGUGAUCUAGCCAUGGGCAGGUUGAAGGUUGGGUAACACUAACUGGAGGACCGAACCGACUAAUGUUGAAAAAUUAGCGGAUGACUUGUGGCUGGGGGUGAAAGGCCAAUCAAACCGGGAGAUAGCUGGUUCUCCCCGAAAGCUAUUUAGGUAGCGCCUCGUGAAUUCAUCUCCGGGGGUAGAGCACUGUUUCGGCAAGGGGGUCAUCCCGACUUACCAACCCGAUGCAAACUGCGAAUACCGGAGAAUGUUAUCACGGGAGACACACGGCGGGUGCUAACGUCCGUCGUGAAGAGGGAAACAACCCAGACCGCCAGCUAAGGUCCCAAAGUCAUGGUUAAGUGGGAAACGAUGUGGGAAGGCCCAGACAGCCAGGAUGUUGGCUUAGAAGCAGCCAUCAUUUAAAGAAAGCGUAAUAGCUCACUGGUCGAGUCGGCCUGCGCGGAAGAUGUAACGGGGCUAAACCAUGCACCGAAGCUGCGGCAGCGACGCUUAUGCGUUGUUGGGUAGGGGAGCGUUCUGUAAGCCUGUGAAGGUGUGCUGUGAGGCAUGCUGGAGGUAUCAGAAGUGCGAAUGCUGACAUAAGUAACGAUAAAGCGGGUGAAAAGCCCGCUCGCCGGAAGACCAAGGGUUCCUGUCCAACGUUAAUCGGGGCAGGGUGAGUCGACCCCUAAGGCGAGGCCGAAAGGCGUAGUCGAUGGGAAACAGGUUAAUAUUCCUGUACUUGGUGUUACUGCGAAGGGGGGACGGAGAAGGCUAUGUUGGCCGGGCGACGGUUGUCCCGGUUUAAGCGUGUAGGCUGGUUUUCCAGGCAAAUCCGGAAAAUCAAGGCUGAGGCGUGAUGACGAGGCACUACGGUGCUGAAGCAACAAAUGCCCUGCUUCCAGGAAAAGCCUCUAAGCAUCAGGUAA
Molecule: ribosomal RNA, 1020 nt
Filed under: Escherichia coli
Lineage: Bacteria; Pseudomonadati; Pseudomonadota; Gammaproteobacteria; Enterobacterales; Enterobacteriaceae
Description: partial 23S ribosomal RNA
Rfam family: Bacterial large subunit ribosomal RNA
Source: RNAcentral